RNAcentral lists this transfer RNA (75 nucleotides) under Hyphomicrobiaceae bacterium. Its description in RNAcentral is "tRNA-Val". It matches the Rfam family "tRNA". Rfam says of the family: Transfer RNA (tRNA) molecules are approximately 80 nucleotides in length. Their secondary structure includes four short double-helical elements and three loops (D, anti-codon, and T loops). Lineage: Bacteria; Pseudomonadati; Pseudomonadota; Alphaproteobacteria; Hyphomicrobiales; Hyphomicrobiaceae. The record is from RNAcentral.
GGGCGGUUAGCUCAGUGGUAGAGCACCUGGUUUACACCCAGGGUGUCGGAGGUUCGACCCCUUCACCGCCCACCA